GCAAAGUUCACAUUGUCAAAGAGUUUCAAGUUUUAAUGUUUCCAAUCUGCCUCUUUUGCCUUUGUCUGAUUCUACAGAUAAAGUUUUAGUUGAUUUAAAAAGUUCUACGAUGGAGUAAU
This is a non-coding RNA of Hydra vulgaris (swiftwater hydra), 119 nucleotides long. The record is from RefSeq and is a predicted model, not a curated record. NCBI's taxonomy places the organism in Eukaryota, Metazoa, Cnidaria, Hydrozoa, Anthoathecata, Hydridae.